This is a long non-coding RNA of Aptenodytes forsteri (emperor penguin), 319 nucleotides long. RefSeq lists it as uncharacterized. The transcript is spliced from 2 exons. The record is from RefSeq and is a predicted model, not a curated record. NCBI's taxonomy places the organism in Eukaryota, Metazoa, Chordata, Aves, Sphenisciformes, Spheniscidae.
AGCUUCUUUCCUGGGAAAUCUUUUUCAGCACCCAGAUUUCGGUUGUACGGACCCAUGUGAGACGGGAUACUCUUCUGGGCAGCUGAAGCAAGGAAGAGCAGGGCCAAAAUCCAUGAUCCACAGCGGCCACCUUGUGUCUAACAAGUCGGAGGCUCACAAGGGGAUUGAGGAGUCAUGGAGGAAGACCGUAAAGGAUGCAGGUCGUUACCUGAUCACAGGUGCAUAUUAAACAGAGCCACGGGGUGAGUCUUGUAUUACAUCUGCCACCGCUGUAAGAGACAUACGGGUCUAAUGCCCACCCGAAAAGAACCCCUUCCCC